UACGAAGGGGGCUAGCGUUGUUCGGAAUUACUGGGCGUAAAGCGCGUGUAGGCGGGUCGUUAAGUUGGGGGUGAAAUCCCGGGGCUCAACCUCGGAACUGCCUUUGAUACAGCAAGUCUUGAGUUCGAGAGAGGUGGGUGGAAUUCCUAGUGUAGAGGUGAAAUUCGUAGAUAUUAGGAAGAACACCGGUGGCGAAGGCGGCCCACUGGCUCGAUACUGACGCUGAGGUGCGAAAGCGUGGGGAGCAAACAGG
RNAcentral lists this ribosomal RNA (253 nucleotides) under uncultured prokaryote. RNAcentral's name for it is "partial 16S ribosomal RNA". It matches the Rfam family "Bacterial small subunit ribosomal RNA", at positions 524 to 776 of the family's 1533-position model. The record is from RNAcentral.